This 507-nucleotide ribosomal RNA is filed under the name uncultured bacterium. RNAcentral describes it as "partial 16S ribosomal RNA". It matches the Rfam family "Bacterial small subunit ribosomal RNA", at positions 28 to 507 of the family's 1533-position model. The record is from RNAcentral.
GACGAACGCUGGCGGCGUGCCUAAUACAUGCAAGUCGAACGCAUUUUCUUUCACCGUAGCUUGCUACACCGAAAGAAAAUGAGUGGCGAACGGGUGAGUAACACGUGGGUAACCUGCCCAUCAGCGGGGGAUAACACUUGGAAACAGGUGCUAAUACCGCAUAAUUCCAUUUACCGCAUGGUAAAUGGAUGAAAGGCGCUUUUGCGUCACUGAUGGAUGGACCCGCGGUGCAUUAGCUAGUUGGUGGGGUAACGGCCUACCAAGGCUGCGAUGCAUAGCCGACCUGAGAGGGUGAUCGGCCACACUGGGACUGAGACACGGCCCAGACUCCUACGGGAGGCAGCAGUAGGGAAUCUUCGGCAAUGGACGCAAGUCUGACCGAGCAACGCCGCGGGAGUGAAGAAGGUUUUCGGAUCGUAAAACUCUGUUGUUAGAGAAGAACAAGGAUGAGAGUGGAAAGUUCAUCCCUUGACGGUAGCUAACCAGAAAGCCACGGCUAACUACGUG